Molecule: ribosomal RNA, 254 nt
Filed under: uncultured bacterium
Lineage: Bacteria
Description: partial 16S ribosomal RNA
Rfam family: Bacterial small subunit ribosomal RNA
Source: RNAcentral
ACUCCUACGGGAGGCAGCAGUAGGGAAUUUUCCGCAAUGGACGAAAGUCUGACGGAGCAAUGCCGCGUGAGUGAUGAAGGUUUUUCGAAAUCGUAAAGCUUCUGUUGUAAGGGAAGAAUAGCAGUAGUAGGAAAUGACUACUGUGUGACGGUACCUUACCAGAAAGCCACGGCUAACUACGUGCCAGCAGCCGCGGUAAUACGUAGGUGGCAAGCGUUAUCCGGAAUUAUUGGGGCGUAAAAGCGCAUGUAGGC